CCUACGGGUGGCAGCAGUGAGGAAUAUUGGUCAAUGGGCGCGAGCCUGAACCAGCCAAGUCGCGUGAGGGAUGACGGUCCUACGGAUUGUAAACCUCUUUUGCCGGGGAGCAAGCGUGCGUUCGUGAACGCGCGUCGAGAGUACCCGGAGAAAAAGCAUCGGCUAACUCCGUGCCAGCAGCCGCGGUAAUACGGAGGAUGCGAGUGUUAUACGGAUUUAUUGGGUUUAAAGGGUGCGUAGGCGGGAUGCCAAGUCAGCGGUAAAAAUGCGGUGCUCAACGCCGUCGAGCCGUUGAAACGGGCGUUCUUGAGUGGGCGAGAAGUAUGCGGAAUUCGUGGUGUAGCGGUGAAAUGCUUAGAUAUCACGAAGAACUCCGAUUGCGAAGGCAGCUCACUGGACUGCAACUGACACUGAUGCUCGAAAGUGUGGGUAUCAAACAGGAUUAGAUACCCGUGUAGUC
Molecule: ribosomal RNA, 460 nt
Filed under: uncultured bacterium
Lineage: Bacteria
Description: partial 16S ribosomal RNA
Rfam family: Bacterial small subunit ribosomal RNA
Source: RNAcentral